GACGAACGCUGGCGGCGUGCUUAACACAUGCAAGUCGAACGGUAAGGCCCUUCGGGGUACACGAGUGGCGAACGGGUGAGUAACACGUGGGUGAUCUGCCCUGCACUUCGGGAUAAGCCUGGGAAACUGGGUCUAAUACCGGAUAGGACCCUGGGAUGCAUGUCCUGGGGUGGAAAGCUUUUGCGGUGUGGGAUGGGCCCGCGGCCUAUCAGCUGGUUGGUGGGGUGAUGGCCUAUCAAGGCGACGACUGGUAGCCGGCCUGAGAGGGUGACCGGCCACCAUGGGACUGAGAUACGGACCAGGCUCCUACGGGAGGCAGCAGUGGGGAAUAUUGCUCAAGGGGCGCAAGCCUGAUGCAGCGACGCCGCGUGAGGGAUGACGGCCUUCGGGUUGUAAACCUCUUUCAGCACCGACGAAGCGCAAGUGACGGUAGGUGCAGAAGAAGGACCGGCCAACUACGUGCCAGCAGCCGCGGUAA
Molecule: ribosomal RNA, 478 nt
Filed under: uncultured bacterium
Lineage: Bacteria
Description: partial 16S ribosomal RNA
Rfam family: Bacterial small subunit ribosomal RNA
Source: RNAcentral